AUGGCAGGUGAAGAAAACGAGUAUGAUGUUGAAGGAAAUGGGCAUCUCAAUCAGCCCGUCACACGGUUUCACUUCAACGCAUUACGUGAUCAUCUACGCCGAGAGUUCAGAAAUAGCGUUGACCCAAUUGAAGAGAAGAAAGACAAGUUGUCGAGAUAUUUGCAGCAACUUAUGGGUAAUGUUAAUGAGCAACUCACUCAGAACAUAGCAGCCAUGAGGACUGGUAUUGUUGUUGAUAUUGUGCAAGAGCUUCGUCAGAACCGAGAAGAUGCAAGUGUCCAUGGUGAAGAACAAAAUGUAACUGAUGGGGAAGGUGCCGUCUCCAAUGCACAAGCUAGAAGAAACCGUGCUCCUUCUCCCCAUGCCAUGAGACCUCCCGGUCCCGGACAUGGAAAUGAUCAUGGUAAUGGACGUGGUCAUUAUGAAGCUGCUGCUGGUCGUGGUCUUAGAGGAGGCCACCGAAGAGCAAAUCUGCACCAUGAAGGUAGUGGAGAUGAGUUUGAUGAAGAUGAAGAAGGCAUGCACCAGAAUGACAGAUUUCAUCAUCGUAGAAACUAUGGUCGUGGACGGCAGGAGGAGGAGAGGUUU
RNAcentral lists this ribosomal RNA (588 nucleotides) under Triticum aestivum (bread wheat). RNAcentral describes it as "partial small subunit ribosomal RNA". Lineage: Eukaryota; Viridiplantae; Streptophyta; Magnoliopsida; Poales; Poaceae. The record is from RNAcentral.